AUACGUAGGUGGCAAGCGUUGUCCGGAUUUACUGGGCGUAAAGGGAGCGUAGGCGGAUACUUAAGUGGGAUGUGAAAUACCUGGGCUUAACUUGGGUGCUGCAUUCCAAACUGGGUGUCUAGAGUGUUGGAGAGGAAAGUGGAAUUCCUAGUGUAGCGGUGAAAUGCGUAGAGAUUAGGAAGAACACCAGUGGCGAAGGCGAUUUUCUGGACAAUAACUGACGCUGAGGCUCGAAAGCGUGGGGAGCAAACAGGAGUAGAGACCCUGGUAGUCCACGCCGUAGACGAUGGGUACUAGGUGUAGGGGGUAUCGACUCCUCCUGUGCCGCCGUUAACACAAUAAGUACCCCGCCUGGGGAGUACGGUCGCAAGAUUAAA
Molecule: ribosomal RNA, 377 nt
Filed under: uncultured bacterium
Lineage: Bacteria
Description: bacterial SSU rRNA
Rfam family: Bacterial small subunit ribosomal RNA
Source: RNAcentral